GUGCUGUCAGCCAUUUUCUCUGAGCCUUCCGGGAAAGGGAACCUGAAUUCUGUGACUCUAAAGACAAGCACUUCACUGGCUGGGCCAUCUCCUUGCCCCUUACUUAUUGAGAAUAUCAACAUCAACACCCAGAGCAUAAUCCUGUGAGGACGCCGUGAGAGGCCUGAGCUCACAUGGUAUUCACUCAAUUCAUGAACAAGUCUAUGACGGGUGGAAGGUUCCAGAGUGAGAGAUUUCCCAGUCUUGCCCUUGAAAGUAAACUGGUGAGUGAUCCUGAAA
This 279-nucleotide long non-coding RNA is filed under the name Rattus norvegicus (Norway rat). Its description in RNAcentral is "long non-coding RNA NONRATT018925". The record is from RNAcentral. Lineage: Eukaryota; Metazoa; Chordata; Mammalia; Rodentia; Muridae.